AACGACUCUCGACAACGGAUAUCUCGGCUCUCGCAUCGAUGAAGAACGUAGCGAAAUGCGAUACUUGGUGUGAAUUGCAGAAUCCCGUGAACCAUCGAGUCUUUGAACGCAAGUUGCGCCCGAAGCCAAUAGGCCGAGGGCACGUUUGCCUGGGUGUCAUGC
RNAcentral lists this ribosomal RNA (162 nucleotides) under Rutheopsis tortuosa. Its description in RNAcentral is "5.8S ribosomal RNA". It matches the Rfam family "5.8S ribosomal RNA". Rfam says of the family: 5.8S ribosomal RNA (5.8S rRNA) is a component of the large subunit of the eukaryotic ribosome. It is transcribed by RNA polymerase I as part of the 45S precursor that also contains 18S and 28S rRNA. Functionally, it is thought that 5.8S rRNA may be involved in ribosome translocation. Lineage: Eukaryota; Viridiplantae; Streptophyta; Magnoliopsida; Apiales; Apiaceae. The record is from RNAcentral. RNAcentral also lists the same sequence under 1 other name.